GGGGAACCGAGCAGUAGAGAGGUACAGGGGAGCUGUUACUAGCAUGUUGGACCGCGUUAUCUACAAUGAUUUCAUCACGUAAGGAUUGGAAAAUGGAUCCUCUUUCAACAUGAAGCUGGAUUGAUAUUAAGGAUGGGGUGCCGUGCAGGCUGCUGACGAGAAGGGAUGCAACGGAGGAGGUCAUUUUCCCGGACAGGGAUGGAGGGAGGCAACGGCCCCCGCAGUGUAGUGAGAGGAGCAGAGUGAGCUAGCUAGCAAUAUAGAAGGACUUCCGGAGUAGAUUUUCAGAUUAAAACGACGUGACGAAAACAGGGUUUGAUUUGAUUAAAAUUUCGAUGUAAUACUUGAACCCACGCUCUUAAUAUCGUAACACACGUAAAAGUUAAUUGCUGACAAAAAAGUCUUCAUGAAUUCUCCUCGAAUUAACACAAGUGUAAAAACAUCCAGCUUUUACUUUGACAGUGUUCCAAAGCCAGUGCUUGUCAGCGGGCGGUAGCUUGACUCGCACAAGACGAGGUGAAGUUACAAAGCCUCGGACCAAAACAAGACUUUACAGCCUGUAGCGGACAACGACGCCUUGUUAUGAAUGGGACCUACCUCGUCUCCCUGCGUGUUCUUCGACUCAAAUGCCUUUAAACCCGCAGGAUUCGUAUUUUAUCUCAUAUCGGAGCACCCCAUGGAAAAAUACGGUUUGCCCUUUAGAAUCAGCAUGGACCGUCCAACACUGACAAACAAAAAGAAGCUCUUGUAGCCGGAGGAGGAUUGCCUUCUCCUACUUUUUGUUUGGCUCAAUGACGGGACCCAACUCCCCAAGCCGGGCUGGGACCUCCCCGGCCAAGCUGAGCAGGCACGGCCGCUCCAAGAGCACCAGCGCACACUGCCUCCUCCGCUGCAGUACCCAGGAGGAUUCGUCCACGUCUCCCCCUAACACCGGUUCACGGUCCCCUGGGGAGGAAGAGGAGAAGGAUGGAGGGAUUCUUUUCUAUGUGAACAGGACUGGUUUUCCCAUCGAGAGCGUGACCUGGGAUAGGAUGUGGUCCCAUGUGGGUGCUGUGCAUCCCGAGGGACAGGAGAUGGUGGAUAGGAUACGUAAUGCUGCAUACCUUCCCAAGCACUCUAUUCCUUCAGUCCCGACCUUCAAGCCGUCCAUGUCCGUCCCUGAUUGGCUCGUGGCCGUCCAGAACUUCAUGAAGACUCUGCAAUACAAUCACACAGGAACCCAGUUCUUUGAAAUCAAGAAGAGCCGUCCUCUCUGUGGGUUAAUGGAGACGGCAAGAGAGAUGAUCAGGGAGUCUUUGCCAAUCAAAUGUCUCGAGGCCGUCAUCCUGGGAAUCUACCUGACCAACGGCCUGACGUCUCUCGAGCGUUUCCCCAUCAGCUUUAAAACCCAGUUUUCGGGUCACUGCUUCCACCACGUCGUGCUCGGCGUCUACUGCAACGGCCGCUACGGAUCUCUGGGCAUGAGCCGCCGCCAGGACCUGAUGGACAAGCCGCUGACUCACCGCACGCUGGGGGAGCUGGUGGCCGAGUUCGAGAGCUCCUACAAGCGAUACCAGCACACUCUGAAGAAGGUGAAGAUUGGCCUGUAUGUGCCUCACGACCCCCACGUCUUCCAGCCAAUCGAGUGGAAGCAUUUGGUGCUGAACGCUGCCCGACUGGGACCUCAAGAGAUGAGGAAGGAGCUGGAGAAACACGGCCGAGACAUGAGGAUGAAGAUCCUCAAAUCAUCCAGUGCCCAGUCACCAAUCAAGGAGCGGAGCCGGGGGAAAUCCUUAUCGCCACGCCGACGACAGAUCAGUCCCCAGCGACGCUUCGCACAUCGCAGAGACAAAUCGCCGGCGUCGGUGGAGAGGAAACCUCCGGAGCUCAGCACUCUGAACGACGGAUACCAGAUCCGCAUCUGAUCCUCCUGCUUCACCUCACAGUCUUCUUUCAAUCCACCCUGCCUUCAUAUCCACCCUGAUCCAAGACCUGCCACCCCGUGUUUUCAGGAGAGGAGUCACUGCAGCACGGAGAGAAACUCGGCUGGAUUUUACUCACACCAGGUGGAUGAUAAAAACAAAAAAAAAGCUUUUGUGAGCAGGAACUGAAAGAAGUUGUUAGAAACUCAAGACAGAAUGUGACAGUGGGUCUGGUUUUUAAACCUAAAGGUGGUCACUGAACGGACUAAGAGUUCCUGACAGCCGCUCGGACACUCUUCAACUGAGUAGCUUUAGAACUUACCCUCAAGUUCAGAAGAAGUUCUACCAGUUUAAACCCGGAUCAAAUCGACUGACGGGAGGAAAUGAACGGCGGAGAGGUUUUGUUUCCUGACAGUAGAUUUAUCCAAACCUUUCAGUAAUCCUUCAGAGACUGAGUGUCUCCGAGUCGUGCCUAAAAAAAGAGACUAUCUGUCCUGAUCAAAAGGAUUAUAAACAAUAUUUAAAAACUGAGUUUGUGCUUAAAUGAAAGACCCCCCCCAAAGACAUCGUAGAGUCGAACGAUUUGAGCGGGCGAGGCUAGAAUAAGAAGAGGACGUUCAAUAAAGUAUGCUGGGAAAUCAAAGCCUUAGAGAGUCGAUGGAGAGGGAACAGAGGGAUAAAAGAGACGAGGAGAGGAUUCACUGCAGGAGAUCAGAGGGCGAUCAUUAGAGCACUGCGGCAAACCUCCUGUCCCCCCACCCUCUUCUUCUUCUCCUUCUUCUCCUCUCUUUCUCCCUCUGUUGACACAAAACACAUCAACACCUCUAUGUCUCGAUCAGAGUGUUCAGAAAGUUUAGGAACCCCCGGCUCUAGACGAAGAUGAGAGAGCAGGUUUGAGCACAAAUCAGUUUCUCUAAAGCCAAAACAGGUCACUCACGACAACUGUAACCGUGGUUACCGAAACCUCUACAAAGUGAUUGCCGUUAGUCGUAGUAACAUGCGUGAGAGAACCAGUGGAAACACUGGUUUUAGUGGUGAGACAGGGCCAGCAGAAGGUGAGCAGAGCUUCGGCCAAACUCAGCUUCACACAUUCAUCCAGCUGCCUGCUGAGCUCACAUCUGGAGUUCAGCUGCAGCCGGUUAGUCCUCAGAGAGAGGCAGACCGGGAGUGGAGACAGAUGUCGAUGGCUAAGUGAGAACUAAACGCUCCAUUGAAGACAGAUUUAUUUGGCAGAGGCUCUGUGCAUACUGUCAGCAUGUCCGGACUGCAGCCUUACAGCCAAUCAGAGCUCUGAGGUGUUUUAUUGUUCUUUCAUGAUGUAUUUCACAGUUUCAGUUUUUGAGCAGGAGAUUUAAAAGAGGGACGGGAAACCACGAGAGUGUUUGUGUGACGUCUCCUCGCUCCUUGAAGUGACCUGUCAGAAUCCGUUCCCCUCGUGUUUGCACUGUUUCACGCUCGGAUGAGUCAUGUAUCAAAAGGAACCGUCCAAAAAAUCCAAUCGAGUUUGAAUUUGAUUGUGUUUUUUGUGUUUUUUUGUGGGUUUUUUUUGGAUUCUCCUGUUGAGGCCUUCGAUGAAUCUCACAGCUCGAGAUCUCACGUCACACUGAUAUCAAGGAUGAGGCAGUAAAUGUUGUUAAAGCUUGAAAUGAGAAAAACACUCGCAGAGAGAAGAACAUCACAUAUCAAAGCAUCGGUUCUUCUCACACUGUCGAACGCAGACACAGUUCAGAGGUUUGUUCAUGUUUGAUUCAUCCACAGAAUGUAGUGUACAGGGAGAAGCCUUCAGACUGACAACUAUACAGUCAGAUGUCUUUGAGUGAACAAAGCCGAGCCCCUCCCCUCCUGGAUAACAUCCAUAAAUUCAAACUUUAAGUGAAGUGAUGAUGAAACUUUUUCACCUUUCCACUUCUUUAGUUUUCAUCUGAAGGAUUACCUUGAAGUAAAGUUUGUUUUUUUACUGAAGUCAAAUCAGAUGGUGUUACAUCUCUGUCCAUCCAAGCUGCACCAGGCAGGUUUUUGUCUGGAAAUGAUCGAACAUAAAUGUGACCGUUGCAUCAAAACAGAAGACAAAACGUCCUUCUUAAAGGCUCUCUGUGAAGGCUCUGGUAGUGCUUUUGGAACGAUGUUUUUGAAGCCCUGCGUACACUGUGUGACUGUAUCAAAGUCGGGCUGGGAUGUCAGCUCACUCUGAACGACUGAAUCGUUUACGACGCACGACCACAGCUCGCGAUUAAUGUGCUCACUCUGUAGGCUACAACCUGAGAGCUCAAGCUGUACGAGGUAAAUCAGGACGGGCCAUUCACAAUUGUCGAUAGAUGUGAGUGUAUGUCAGCUGUCUUAAACGCACGGCUCAAAUACACACACAGCAGAGAGAGCCUCUCAUCUCUCUCUCACACUCAGCAAAAUCACAACAAAUAUUCCCUGUCAGCUGGAGGUCAGCUGAUAUUUCCUGCCGACGUUUCUUUCAUGAUUGGUGGAGGACAGAUUAAACAGGCAUGCCUGCUGUUGCCAUGGUGAUUUUGGACAUUGUCUGUCACUUUAUGUGCAGACACAAUCAGGAAAAGAGUCCGGAAGUAAGUCAGGGAAUCGACUCGUCGCUCUAAUGUCAACGUGCUAGUGUACGACCAAAAUAUCAAACAUGCCAGAAAAUCAUCCAACCAUCUUACGACUCAAAAAUCGUUUCUAAAUCCGCCUGAAAUCAUACAGAGUGCGCCCGGCUUAAGCUGUAACCAGGACAGGGAUGAGCCUUCUCUGUUGUUUUGAUGCUCUUGGUCCUUUCAUGAUUCGGUGGAGGAAGUUUAAAAUGGCACCAACAGAUCCACAGAAAGACAGCGAGCAACCAUACAAGGAUGUUUCACUAGCUUACCUUUGAAUGCUAACAAGAAACCUGCCUGGUGCAACUUCUACGUCCCAUGUGACGGAGCAGAGAGGGUCUUACAUGUCUGUAAAUGUUGCCUCAUUCUUCUUCUCUUGUUUUCGUCUCAUGAGUUGUAAUCCGGAGGACUUCAGGAGUCCGAGCUCGGAUUGUUUCUGAAUUCUGAAUUCUGUCUUUUGAUUGUUUCAUCUCUUUUUCUUUGAAUGUUUCACGCUCACUGAACAAGUUUGUUUGUUGCCAACAUACAAAAGAAAAACCCUACAGACAUCAUCAUAUCCCGGCUUUUUGAUUCCAACAGUGAGCUAUGCACGCCCUGCUAGAGAGCAGGUAAAAAAAAAACACAGAAAUCCUCGUCUUCCACUCUUCAAAACAUGGAGUAGGAGGCUGUUUGUGGCUCGAUCUACACAAAAACAAAUCACAUUUUUUUUAAAUCUGCAAAGACAGAAAUGAUCAGAUAGCUCGACUCGUCCAGUUUUCAGCCGCUCAGAAACUCUCAGAUCUUCUGUGUAGAUCCAAACGGAGCCAUCCUCACUGACUUUUCUUUUCUAUGUUUCUGAUGUUUGGCCAGCAGUGGACUAUAGCACAGCCCAGAGAGAGAGAGAGAGAGAGAGAGAGGUCUGACUCUCACAUCUCAACCUCUGGCACCAAACAACCAGCUCGUAGUGUUCAUAUCUGAAUCGGAGGUUUUAGUGUUCAUCAGCUUUCAGGAGAAGCACAAAGCUGCUUUGAUUGUUCAGACUUCCUCAAAGUUUCUCACAGAGGAACAGACAAAGAGUUUAACGCUCUGAAGUGGAAACAUAUCUUUGGACUUCUUCCUUCAGGAAAGACUUACGCAGAUGUUCAGAUGUUCUGGAUGAUGUUGGAGUGUUUUCUGGAUCUUCACAAAAGCAGAUUCAACAUCUACGUUUUACAAAACAGACGGAAAACAACGGACUCUCUGGAUUAAAAGACAAACACGGACACUCCUCUUGACAUUUCACCAAACAACAGUUUAGAAACAUGGACGUACAGAGACGACAAAAAAACAACAACAGGAAACGCUGAACGUCAAUGUAGCGACUGGAAGCUGCUUUUUGUGACUGAAUGUGUUCU
Molecule: RNA transcript, 5868 nt
Organism: Labrus mixtus (cuckoo wrasse)
Lineage: Eukaryota; Metazoa; Chordata; Actinopteri; Labriformes; Labridae
Gene: vash2
Gene name: vasohibin 2
Exons: 10
Source: RefSeq, a predicted model, not a curated record